This 301-nucleotide ribosomal RNA is filed under the name uncultured bacterium. RNAcentral describes it as "partial 16S ribosomal RNA". It matches the Rfam family "Bacterial small subunit ribosomal RNA", at positions 509 to 807 of the family's 1533-position model. The record is from RNAcentral.
CAGUAGCCACGGGAAUACGGAGGGAGCUAGCGUUAUUCGGAAUUACUGGGCGUAAGGCGCACGUAGGCGGCUUUGUAAGUAAGAGGUGAAAGCCCGGGGCUCAACCCCGGAAUUGCCUUUUAGACUGCAUCGCUUGAAUCAUGGAGAGGUCAGAGGAAUUCCGAGUGUAGAGGUGAAAUUCGUAGAUAUUCGGAAGAACACCAGUGGCGAAGGCGGCUGACUGGACAUGUAUUGACGCUGAGGUGCGAAAGCGUGGGGAGCAAACAGGAUUAGAUACCCCUGUAGUCCCUGUCUCUUAUAC